AGAGUUUGAUCCUGGCUCAGAUUGAACGCUGGCGGCAUGCCUUACACAUGCAAGUCGAACGGUAACAGGUCUUCGGAUGCUGACGAGUGGCGAACGGGUGAGUAAUACAUCGGAACGUGCCCGAGAGUGGGGGAUAACGAAGCGAAAGCUUUGCUAAUACCGCAUACGAUCUCAGGAUGAAAGCAGGGGACCGCAAGGCCUUGCGCUCACGGAGCGGCCGAUGGCAGAUUAGGUAGUUGGUGGGAUAAAAGCUUACCAAGCCGACGAUCUGUAGCUGGUCUGAGAGGACGACCAGCCACACUGGGACUGAGACACGGCCCAGACUCCUACGGGAGGCAGCAGUGGGGAAUUUUGGACAAUGGGCGCAAGCCUGAUCCAGCCAUGCCGCGUGCAGGAUGAAGGCCUUCGG
This 409-nucleotide ribosomal RNA is filed under the name uncultured bacterium. Its description in RNAcentral is "bacterial SSU rRNA". It matches the Rfam family "Bacterial small subunit ribosomal RNA", at positions 8 to 421 of the family's 1533-position model. The record is from RNAcentral.